Molecule: ribosomal RNA, 440 nt
Filed under: uncultured bacterium
Lineage: Bacteria
Description: partial 16S ribosomal RNA
Rfam family: Bacterial small subunit ribosomal RNA
Source: RNAcentral
CCUACGGGAUGCAGCAGUGGGGAAUAUUGCUCAAUGGUCGGAACACUGAAGCAGCAACGCCGCGUGAGGGAGGAAGGUUUUCGGAUUGUAAACUCCUUUUGUUAGGGAAGAAAAUGCCGGUAUCUAACGCCUAAUGACCGGCCAACACCGUACUAGCAGCCGCGGUAAUACGGAGGGUGCAAAGGUUACUCGGAAUCACUGGGCGUAAAGAGGGCGUAGGCGGGGUAGCAAGUCAGAUGUGAAAGACUAUGGCUUAAACCUAGAACUGCAGUUGAAACUGUUAUUCUAGAGUAGGGGAGAGGUAGGCGGAAUUCGUGGUGUAGGGGUAAAAUGCGUAGAGAUCAGGAGGAAUACUGAUUGCGAAGGCGACAUGCUGGCUCCAAACUGACGCUGAGGCGCGAAAGCGUGGGUAGCAAACAGGAUUAGAUACCCCAGUAGUC